CUCCUUCUUAGGUAGUAGGUGAUGCUUGUUUCCUUCUCCCAUUGAAGUCUGCCGGGUAACUAAUGAGCUAGUAACAUUUAUCUUUACUUUUUCCUUUCAUCUUGCAAUGUUCACAAAAUAGACUGUAAUUCCUUUUAUUCUUCAAAAGUAAACCUCCUUUUAUUGCUGAACUCUGCGAAGCUGUAAUGCAAUUUCCCUCAGCAAUUGAGUUUAUCCUAGUGUGUGAUGAGGUUCAUGGCAAAACCUCAUUUUACUGUUGAACUCUGCGAAGAUGUAAUGCCAUUUCCCUCAGAAAUUGAGUUCAUCCUAGUGUGUGAUGAGGUUCUUGGCGUACUCUUUUCACUUUCAUGUUCAACAAUUAGAGUAAGCCUGAUUCAAAGUAGUUUCCACUGAUUUCAUUAGAUUCUACCUUCUAGCUUGUGAAUUGGAAUCAUUCAGUCCACUUAGAAACUGUAAUAGCCUCUGCC
Molecule: long non-coding RNA, 467 nt
Filed under: Nicotiana benthamiana
Lineage: Eukaryota; Viridiplantae; Streptophyta; Magnoliopsida; Solanales; Solanaceae
Description: long non-coding RNA (NBEN_LNC007494)
Source: RNAcentral